AUGAUGAUGGAGGAAGAGGAGGUCAGAGCAGAGUCUGCAGGGUCCAGAUGUCCGUCUGUGAGGAGUGACCGGUCCAAAGAUCCAAAUCCAGACUUCAGUGCUGAACCUGGAGCAACGAGAGGUCAGAGGUCACAGUCUGCAGGGUCCAGCUGUCCAUCCAUGAGGAGUGACAUGUCCAAAAAUAAACCUCCAGACUUCAGUGGUGAACCUGGACCAACGAGGUCAGAGAGCUGUGAUGACUCCUUUACAUGUUUGUGUUUUCCUGGAUAAAUAUGACCUGAAACAUCCUCAGAUUCGAUUCAAUCAAUCAAUCAAUCAAUCUUUAUUUAUAAAGCACUUUUCAUACAACAAAUGUAGCACAAAGUGCUUUACAUGGUUAAAAGCAGCCCACCCCACCCCAACCUCCCACUCACUCCCCACACUCUCAUUAACAUAAACGAUCAUGAAUACACCCCCCCCCCCCCCCCACACACACACACACACACAUGCAGACACGCACACUUAAAGAGUAAAAUUGGGCUGGGUACGCAUUAGCCAAGUGAGGAAACACUAUCACAGGGAGCCGUCUGCACCGGGAGCCGGUCACAGACCGCAGCCUCCAGGCUGGGCACACAGCAGGAGGGAGGCAAAGAAGCCCCCCAGCCAGGCUGAGAGGAUCCACAGAGCCCCAGCAGCCACGGUCGAUCACAGCCCCAGUGCAGAGAGCCCCCUCCGAGGAAACACUGGAGAUAUGACCUAAUAAGAAUAUAAACAGGAUAAAAAGAUAAAAUAAAUAAGAGUGGGAUAUAAUAUAAAUAUAAGUAUAAACAGAGUAAGAAGAUAAAAAAUGAAUAAGAAUACAAUCAAUAAAUAUUAGGUAAAACUAAAUUAAUAAUAUAAAUAGAAUAACAGGAUAGAAUAAAUAAGCAUAAAAUAAAUAAACGUUAGUUAAAAGCUAAAUUAAAAAGGUGGGUCUUGAGCCUGUUUUUAAAAACAUGAACGUUCUCUGCGGCCCUGAGCUCCUCCGGCAGGCUGUUCCACAGACGAGGACCAUACCACUGAAAAGCUGCCUCUCCGUGAGUAUGUGUCCUGACUUUAGGGACAAUCAAAAGGCCAGUACCAGAGGACCUCAGGGUCCGCGAGGGUUCAUAUGGUAAAAGCAGAUCUGAAAGAUAAGAAGGCCCAAGACCAUUAAGACAUUUAAAAACCAAUAAAAGAACUUUAAAAUCGAUCCUGAAACACACGGGGUGCCAAUGCAGCGAUUGUAAAACCGGUGUAAUGUGGGCCCGCCCUCUGGUCUUCGUCAGCACACGAGCUCCAGAGUUUUAUAAAAGUUGUAAGGGUGAAAUAUUCUUUUUGGGGAGACCAGAGAGCAGGGCAUUACAGUAAUCAAUGUGACUGGUAAUAAAAGCAUGCAUCAACAUCUCCGUGUUGGCCUGAGAGAGAAUAGGGCGGACUCUGGCUAUAUUUUUUAGAUGAUAAAAUCCAAUUUUGGUUACAUGUUUAAUAUGUGGGAUAAAACCAAGCUCAGAGUCGAAAAUAACACCCAGGUUUUUCACUUGUAGUGAAGGGCAUAGUGAAAAUGCCUGUAAUUUAGACAAGAGUUUCUCUCUUUGAGCCUCAGGACCGAUGAUUAAAACUUCAGUUUUGUCCUGGUUAAGCUGUAAAACGUUUUCUGCCAUCCAAGAUUUUAUAUCUAGACUACAGUUAAAAAGGGCAUCCAUUGGUCUGGUGUCAUCAGGAGACACGGAGAUGUACAGCUGAGUAUCAUCACUGUAACUGUGGAAGUUCACUUCAUGCCUCCUGAUGACAUCGCCAAGAGGGAGCAUAUACAAAUUAAAAAGUACAGGGCCUAAAACCGACCCUUGAGGCACACCACAUGUCAUUUUAUGGAUCUUAGAGGAGCAUGUAUCCAUACACACCAUAAAAGUUCUGUCUGAGAGAUAGGAAGUGAACCAGUUGUGUACAGCACCAGAGAGGCCCACCAUGUGUUUCAGUCUGUUUAAAAGUAUAGCAUGGUCUACUGUAUCAAAGGCUGCGCUUAGAUCCAGCAGCACCAGG
Molecule: long non-coding RNA, 2040 nt
Filed under: Oreochromis niloticus (Nile tilapia)
Lineage: Eukaryota; Metazoa; Chordata; Actinopteri; Cichliformes; Cichlidae
Description: lncRNA (ENSONIG00000031059.1)
Source: RNAcentral